RNAcentral lists this ribosomal RNA (253 nucleotides) under uncultured bacterium. Its description in RNAcentral is "partial 16S ribosomal RNA". It matches the Rfam family "Bacterial small subunit ribosomal RNA", at positions 524 to 776 of the family's 1533-position model. The record is from RNAcentral.
UACGGGGGGGGCAAGCGUUGUUCGGAAUUACUGGGCGUAAAGGGCGCGUAGGCGGCCUUCUAAGUCGAACGUGAAAUCCCCGGGCUCAACCCGGGAACUGCGUCCGAUACUGGAAGGCUUGAAUCCGGGAGAGGGAUGCGGAAUUCCAGGUGUAGCGGUGAAAUGCGUAGAUAUCUGGAGGAACACCGGUGGCGAAGGCGGCAUCCUGGACCGGUAUUGACGCUGAGGCGCGAAAGCUAGGGGAGCAAACGGG